Molecule: long non-coding RNA, 884 nt
Filed under: Setaria italica (foxtail millet)
Lineage: Eukaryota; Viridiplantae; Streptophyta; Magnoliopsida; Poales; Poaceae
Description: long non-coding RNA (SITA_LNC004118)
Source: RNAcentral
CCAAUCUUUGCCAGGCAUUCCACCAUUCUUUGGGCCUCCCUCCUCCAGUUUGUAUCUUCCUAAUGACAAUGAAGCUAAAGUUGGCAACCAAUUUGAACCAAAUCCUUCACAGAGUACGGAUUGGGACCCGCAGGCUAUAGUGAGCAACCUAACUUUCCUUGAGCAGAAGAUCAAGCAGGUAAAAGAUGUUGUGCAGGCCAUGAGUAACCGAGAGAACCAUGUCGCUGGCGGUUCCUGUGAGCUAGCAGCAAAGCAGCAGCUCAUAACUGCUGAUCUCACUAGCAUUAUAAUCCAGCUUAUCACAACUGCUGGUUCGCUGCUCCCUUCAAUGAAGAACCCACUUAGCAGCAAUCUAGCAGUAAGGCAGCUCGGCAACACUCUUGGUUCUCCUAUGGGUUUUGGCAUGAAUACUAAUCAGCGACCAAGUGUAGACAGCAAGACCAAUAUUCCUGACAGUGGAAAGGUCUCUGAUUACGAGGAACUGAUCAAUAGCCUUAAUACUACCCAAGAUGAAAGAGAUGAGAUGAUCAAAUGCCCAAAUCCUUGUGUUGGGGAAGGGUCUGAACCGACUCCGAUGGAAGACCAUGAUGUAAAGGAGAGUGAUGAUGGUGAGCAUGAGGGAGAGAAUCUCCCCCCUGGUUCUUAUGUAGUAUUACAAUUGGAAAAGGAGGAGAUUUUAGCACCACAUACUCAUUUCUGCUUGAUCUGUGGGAAGGGCUUCAAGAGAGAUGCUAACCUAAGGAUGCAUAUGAGGGGCCAUGGAGAUGAGUACAAGACUGCUGCAGCUCUUGCCAAACCCACGAAAGAUUCUGGUUCAGAGCAUGCACCAGUUACAAGGUACUCAUGCCCAUUUGUGGGUUGCAAGCGGAACAAAGAGCACAAGA